AAUCUUCCGCAAUGGACGAAAGUCUGACGGAGCAACGCCGCGUGAGCGAUGAAGGCCUUCGGGUCGUAAAGCUCUGUUGUUAGGGAAGAACAAGUACGAGAGUAACUGCUCGUACCUUGACGGUACCUAACCAGAAAGCCCCGGCUAACUACGUGCCAGCAGCCGCGGUAAUACGUAGGGGGCAAGCGUUGUCCGGAAUUAUUGGGCGUAAAGGGCUCGUAGGCGGUUUCUUAAGUCUGAUGUGAAAGCCCACAGCUCAACUGUGGAGGGUCAUUGGAAACUGGGGAACUUGAGUGCAGAAGAGGAGAGUGGAAUUCCACGUGUAGCGGUGAAAUGCGUAGAUAUGUGGAGGAACACCAGUGGCGAAGGCGACUCUCUGGUCUGUAACUGACGCUGAGGAGCGGAAGCGUGGGGAGCAAACAGG
RNAcentral lists this ribosomal RNA (424 nucleotides) under uncultured bacterium. RNAcentral describes it as "partial 16S ribosomal RNA". It matches the Rfam family "Bacterial small subunit ribosomal RNA", at positions 360 to 776 of the family's 1533-position model. The record is from RNAcentral.